GAGUUUGAUCCUGGCUCAGAACGAACGCUGGCGGCGUGCUUAACACAUGCAAGUCAGGGAGAAAGUCUCUUCGGGGAUGAUUAAACCGGCGCACGGGUGAGUAACACGUGAGUGGCCUGCCUUUUAGACUGGAACAACUUACCGAAAGGUGAGCUAAUGCCGGAUGAGUUAUAUAAGUGCAUGUUUAUAUAGGAAAAGUUGGGGAGACCUGACGCUGAAAGAUGGACUCGCGUCCCAUUAGCUAGUUGGUAGGGUAAUGGCCUACCAAGGCGACGAUGGGUAGCCGGCCUGAGAGGGUGGCCGGCCACACUGGGACUGAGACACGGCCCAGACUCCUACGGGAGGCAGCAGUGGGGAAUUUUGCGCAAUGCUCGUAAGAGUGACGCAGCGACGCCGCGUGAAUGACGAAGGCCUUCGGGUCGUAAAGUUCUUUCGACAGGGAAGAAAAUGCCUAUAAGUAACUGUGUAUGUAUUGACGGUACCUGUAUAAGCAGCCCCGGCUAACUCCGUGCCAGCAGCCGCGGUAAUACGGAGGGGGCGAGCGUUGUUCGGAGUGACUGGGCGUAAAGAGCACGUAGGCGGUGUUGUAAGUCAUUAGUCAAAGACUAGAGCUCAACUUUAGUAAGGCUAGUGAUACUAUAAUACUAGAGUAUCAGAGAGGAUUGCAGAAUUCCUGGUGUAGCGGUGAAAUGCGUAGAUAUCAGGAGGAAUACCGUUAGCGA
This 722-nucleotide ribosomal RNA is filed under the name uncultured bacterium. RNAcentral's name for it is "bacterial SSU rRNA". It matches the Rfam family "Bacterial small subunit ribosomal RNA", at positions 9 to 718 of the family's 1533-position model. The record is from RNAcentral.